GAUAACGCAGCAUCUCCUUCUUCUCCUCCUUUACCUUGCACUGUCCAGAGCAAGACUAACACCUUACUUCCUCCCCAACCCCCACCUAUUCCCUCAGCUAAAGGAAAAGGAAGUGGAGGAGUAAAAACAGCCAAGCUAUACGCCUGGGUAGCACUGCAGUCAUUACCAGAAGAAAUGGUUAUUAGUCCUUGUCUAUUGGACUUUCUUGAAAAGGCUCUGGAAACUAUCCCAAUUACACCAAUAGAAAGGAAUUAUACAGCAGUCAGCUCACAAGAUGAAGACAUGGGACAUUUUGACAUCCCAGAUCCUAUGGAGGAAUCAACAACAUCCCUAGUGUCAUCUUCAACGUCUGCGUACUCUUCCUUCCCUGUGGAUGUCGUUGUUUAUGUGCGA
This 393-nucleotide long non-coding RNA is filed under the name Rattus norvegicus (Norway rat). RNAcentral describes it as "long non-coding RNA NONRATT015242". The record is from RNAcentral. Lineage: Eukaryota; Metazoa; Chordata; Mammalia; Rodentia; Muridae.